CCCGCAUUGCCUCCUCCGACACCCGAGGCCGGGGCGCGCAGGUCAGCGGUCUCAUCCUAGGGUUUACCCACACUCCCCGCGCCUUGAUGGCUGAUCGAAGCUGGUCCUGGGGUGUGAGCCCUUGCGGGGAUUUUCGGUUAGAGGAGUGACGCAAAGGACUUUUUAUGAAAAGAAAGAAAUGGUAGUCAUGAACCAGUAAGGUAAAAGGAGAAAACCGGUUUGGAAAAGGGACGCCCUCGCGACUUUGAAAACCACCUCUUUAGCCAGUUUGUAAAUCCCUUAAGGAAACAGCACUGAAGAGAAUUGGAAUGCAAUCACUUAUGUCUUAUGUCUUUUUCCUUCUGGAGUUGUCCUGCGGGGCGUGGGGGCAGGGGGUGAGUCUUUGUCACCGUGUACCCAGGUCAGAUGGAGACAGGUAAAGGAAAUGCUAAUCUACCCUCCUAAUCCGUUUUCAGUCUGUGAUGCCCUUCACUAUAAACAUUUCUUGUGAGCCCUCUCCUACUAAUCUUGUGUCUUGGUUUGCUCAGGAAUAAAUAACGUUAACCCACAGACUAGGAAAAUCUGGAGUUGGGAUGCUGUGUCAUCAUUUUCCCAGUUGGUAAAUCUGUCUAUUUUAAUUCAGAAAGAAUGUUAAACCCAAAAGUUCAGAGACCAAAAAGUUCAAGAAAGAGACCUUGUCCUCUUAAAGGGAAUCACAGCCCUUGUUCUGUGAAAACCAUAAGGACACCAUCCCAAGUUCUUAGCACAAAAGGAACACUUGGUCUAAAUAUUUGGCAACUUUAAAUAAUGCUCCUAUCAAGUACCUGUUUAUCAGGAUUAGGCAUAUUUAUUCUUUGGCUUAGCUACUACAGUUACCAAAGUCUGUGUUACUAAUUGUCUAAGAGGUUGGACUCCUGAAAACCUGGAUAGUAUAUAUCAUCAUCUUCACCUGACGGAUGCAGAAACUCAAAGAGUUUUUCCAUGAAUAUCCAGUUUUCAGAGGACACAACAUCUUUGUCUGUAUGUGGUGCUGAGGAUCUAACCCGAGCCGCACGCAUGCCAGGACCCAGGAAUUUCAGCCCUGCACCAGUGGAGUCUUUGCCCAAGUCACAGGUGAAAAUCAGCUAGCUCCAGGUAUGAAGCUAAGGUUUGUCUUCUCCCAGGAGGUGGCAGCAGCAGCAGGCUCAGCCUGCUGGAGAAUCAGACAGAACUCAUCUGUUUUUCUGUUGGCAUCCAAACCUAAAAAUGCCUGGUUCCAGAGACCAUUUUAUCCCUUCUUCGGUUUGCUGAGCUUGGUUGGAGACAGGGCAUAGGGAAGGAGCUGGCACAGAUUCCUCUCUAUAAGUACCUAUUUUUUUUGGUAAAUAUUUUGAUCUGGGCUGUGACCUUGAAGCAUGUGUGAAGGAGGGUCAGGAAGUCUCUGGUCAGAGAAAAAGAGCUUCAGAGAGAAACAAACAGUAAUUGAAACACUUACAUCCGUACUAGUGUACAUCCAGAGGACACCAGCUUAUUGUUUGGUGCCACAUACAAAAAAAUAUAGACUCUGACCUCUUCCCAGCUACCAGCCAGCUGACCUUGUCAUUGAAUCUGUCGGAGCUGCAAUAUCCUUGUCCACCUACGGGUUUCUGAUGAGAAUAUUAGCAUAGGAAAUAUGCUGGUUAAAAAAAAGAGAAUUAAGGACCUGGGUUCCAGACUCAGAUCUCCCAGUGUGGAUCAGGAGAUCCUAAAGCACCUGCUAAUUCUUUUCUUUCCUUCUUCUUCUUUUUUUUUUU
Long non-coding RNA from Marmota monax (woodchuck), 1751 nucleotides. RefSeq lists it as uncharacterized. Lineage: Eukaryota; Metazoa; Chordata; Mammalia; Rodentia; Sciuridae. The transcript is spliced from 3 exons. The record is from RefSeq and is a predicted model, not a curated record.